RNAcentral lists this non-coding RNA (27 nucleotides) under Mus musculus (house mouse). Lineage: Eukaryota; Metazoa; Chordata; Mammalia; Rodentia; Muridae. The record is from RNAcentral.
UGAGGAAGACUGACUUUUGUAGACAGA